This 364-nucleotide ribosomal RNA is filed under the name uncultured bacterium. RNAcentral's name for it is "partial 16S ribosomal RNA". It matches the Rfam family "Bacterial small subunit ribosomal RNA", at positions 338 to 699 of the family's 1533-position model. The record is from RNAcentral.
CCUACGGGAGGCAGCAGUGAGGAAUCUUGGUCAAUGGACGGAAGUCUGAACCAGCCAUGCCGCGUGCAGGAUGACGGCUCUAUGAGUUGUAAACUGCUUUUGUACGAGAAUAAUAGUUCUUACGUGUAUGGAUUUGCAUGUAUCGUACGAAUAAGGAUCGGCUAACUCCGUGCCAGCAGCCGCGGUAAUACGGAGGGUUCGAGCGUUAUCCGGAUUUAUUGGGUUUAAAGGGUGCGUAGGCGGUCGGAUAAGUUAGAGGUAAAAGGUCGGGGCGUAACCCCGGGCUUGCAUCUGAUACUGGUCGACUAGAGAGCAGAUGCGGCAGGCGGAAUGAGUAGUGUAGCGGUGAAAUGCUUAGAUAUUA